GAUGGAGGCAGGGAGGCCCCCCUGUGCUUGAGGGUGGCCUCGCCAUCAAGGCUGGGGCCUCCGUGCCUCCUGCCUUGCUUGUCCCCCUCAGCCACAGCUUGGCCGCUUCUAGGAGAUGGUGCCGUCUCUCCCACCAGCAGGCUCUCCCCCGGGAGCCUGCUCAGACCUGCCUUCCUCACAAAGCUCGGUAGCAACUCCCUGGGGCAGAAAAUGUCUCUUCUGAAAGCAAGACAAGAGUUUAAUUAAGCCCUAAACGCACACAGUUGAGCCUGAAAUUAGGGUGGUGAUGGGAGGGGGAGAAGGCAAUCGAGGACGGUGGGUAGCGGGGUGGGCUUCAACGCACUUCUGGCCCAGCUGAGCCAAACAAGCCUACAAGCAAACAUUUACAGAGCCUGUGGGCGUGGCUACAAAGCCUCUCUGACCUGGAGAGGGGAGAAUGCCACGUUUCCUGUCCUGUUUGGGCUCUCCCCAGGUUGUUGCUCAGACAGUCAAACCACAGCCUCCUCCUCUACCUGGCAAUUAAUCCUGCUGUGCCCUGCAACCUGGGUUGGGUCUUACUCUGCCAGGGACUGAAGCAAGAAGAGACGGGCCGCCGGGCGUGUUAUCGCUUGUCUCUGGGGCAGAGAAGCGGUUGCAACAGAGCCCCUGCGUGCGUGUGGACGUGCCUGCGUGGAGCAGUGAGGGAACAGGCUGUCCUCGGGGGGCGCCCUGUCCCCCUUCCCUGUGUGUGUGGCAGGCAACCCAAGGGCAGACCCCACUUGAUGGACACAGAAGCUGCUCUCACAGAAGCCAACCCCCCACCCCCCUGGACAGGUCAUCUAAUCAGUUAGUGGAGAUGCUAUGAGCACACCAAGACAGAGGUUCAGUAUCUUGCCGAAAGUUGAGAGGAGAAGCUACGAAUAAGACCAGCUCUGGCUCCCAAUCCACCCCACAGCUUUUGAUGGUACUCAGUGGUACACCCUUGGACCCCGAUGGUGUGGGCAGUUCUCCCACAGGUCUGGCCCGAGUCUCUCCUACUCUCGUCUGAAUUGGAUCAGAUGGAAGGACCAUGUCAGUAGGUCGGUUCUGCUCCCAACCCAGCCUCAAGAGACAUCACCCAUCCCUUGGUACAGGUGGUAGCCUUCCAGUUACUGGGGUGGGGAUGUUUGCCUUCUGUUAAUGAAAAGAAAUAGAUGUGAUAAUAAAUAAAUGCCCAACCCAGUGCAGCAAUCGAUGUCCCUAACAAUGAGGCUCUGUGUUUGCUCUCAGCUGUGGGUUAUGUUCAUUGGCCACAGUCACUGCUCAGGAGCCCCUGGGCACAUCAUCCUGGGUGGGUCCACAGG
Molecule: long non-coding RNA, 1322 nt
Organism: Bos taurus (domestic cattle)
Lineage: Eukaryota; Metazoa; Chordata; Mammalia; Artiodactyla; Bovidae
Source: Ensembl